This 482-nucleotide ribosomal RNA is filed under the name uncultured bacterium. Its description in RNAcentral is "partial 16S ribosomal RNA". It matches the Rfam family "Bacterial small subunit ribosomal RNA", at positions 30 to 507 of the family's 1533-position model. The record is from RNAcentral.
AUUGAACGCUGGCGGCAUGCCUUACACAUGCGAGUCGAACGGUAACGGGCCUUCGGGUGCCGACGAGUGGCGAACGGGUGAGUAAUACAUCGGAACGUGCCCGAUCGUGGGGGAUAACGAGGCGAAAGCUUUGCUAAUACCGCAUACGAUCUACGGAUGAAAGCAGGGGACCGCAAGGCCUUGCGCGGACGGAGCGGCCGAUGGCAGAUUAGGUAGUUGGUGGGAUAAAAGCUUACCAAGCCGACGAUCUGUAGCUGGUCUGAGAGGAUGAUCAGCCACACUGGGACUGAGACACGGCCCAGACUCCUACGGGAGGCAGCAGUGGGGAAUUUUGGACAAUGGGCGCAAGCCUGAUCCGGCCAUGCCGCGUGCAGGAUGAAGGCCUUCGGGUUGUAAACUGCUUUUGUACGGAACGAAAAGCCUUCUUUUAAUACAGGAGGGUCAUGACGGUACCGUAAGAAUAAGCACCGGCUAACUACGUG